RNAcentral lists this ribosomal RNA (497 nucleotides) under uncultured bacterium. Its description in RNAcentral is "partial 16S ribosomal RNA". It matches the Rfam family "Bacterial small subunit ribosomal RNA", at positions 28 to 507 of the family's 1533-position model. The record is from RNAcentral.
GAUGAACGCUGGCGGCGUGCCUAAUACAUGCAAGUCGAGCGAACAGACGAGGAGCUUGCUCCUCUGACGUUAGCGGCGGACGGGUGAGUAACACGUGGAUAACCUACCUAUAAGACUGGGAUAACUUCGGGAAACCGGAGCUAAUACCGGAUAAUAUAUUGAACCGCAUGGUUCAAUAGUGAAAGACGGUUUUGCUGGCACUUAUAGAUGGAUCCGCGCCGCAUUAGCUAGUUGGUAAGGUAACGGCUUACCAAGGCGACGAUGCGUAGCCGAUCUGAGAGGGUGGUCGGCCACACUGGAACUGAGACACGGUCCAGACUACUACGGGAGGCAGCAGUAGGCAAUCUUCCGCAGUGGGCGAAAGCCUUACGGAGCAACGCCGCGUGAGUGAUGAAGGUCUUCGGAUCGUAAAACUCUGUUAUUAGGGGAGAACAAAUGUGUAAGUAACUAUGCACGUCUUGACGGUACCUAAUCAGAAAGCCACGGCUAACUACGUG